Molecule: small RNA, 253 nt
Filed under: Otolemur garnettii (small-eared galago)
Lineage: Eukaryota; Metazoa; Chordata; Mammalia; Primates; Galagidae
Description: Metazoan signal recognition particle RNA (ENSOGAG00000026252.1)
Source: RNAcentral
GCCGGGCGUUGUGGCGGGCGCCUGUGGUCCCAGCUACUUGGGAGGCGGAGGCAGGAGACUCGCUUGAGCCCAGGAGUUGGAGGUUGCUGUGAGUUGUAAUGCCACGGCACUCUGCCCAGGGUGAAAGCUUGAGGCUCUGUCUCAAAAAAAAAAAAAAAAAAGAUAGAGUCUCAAUUUGUUGUCCUCAGUAGAAUGUUGUGGCAUCUUAGCUCAUAGCAACCUCAAACUCUUGGGCUAAAGUGAUCCUCAUGCC